RNAcentral lists this ribosomal RNA (253 nucleotides) under uncultured bacterium. RNAcentral describes it as "partial 16S ribosomal RNA". It matches the Rfam family "Bacterial small subunit ribosomal RNA", at positions 524 to 776 of the family's 1533-position model. The record is from RNAcentral.
UACAGAGGGUGCAAGCGUUAUUCGGAGUUACUGGGCGUAAAGAGCUCGUAGGAGGUUCUUCAAGUCUGGUGUGAAAUCCCUGAACUCAAUUCAGGAAGUGCAUUGGAUACUGUAGAACUAGAGUAUAGGAGAGGAAAGCGGAAUUCCAGGUGUAGAGGUGAAAUUCGUAGAUAUCUGGAGGAACAACAGUGGCGAAGGCGGCCUUCUGGACUAUAACUGACUCUGAGGAGCGAAAGCGUGGGGAGCAAACAGG